This is a long non-coding RNA of Hemicordylus capensis (graceful crag lizard), 1297 nucleotides long. RefSeq lists it as uncharacterized. The transcript is spliced from 3 exons. Lineage: Eukaryota; Metazoa; Chordata; Lepidosauria; Squamata; Cordylidae. The record is from RefSeq and is a predicted model, not a curated record.
GUAUAAGAGAAUCACCACUUUAAAAGGUGUCUCUUUGCUCAGUUAGCAGUUGAUACACAUUUGCUAUGCUCCUCCCUCUUUAGGGCUUCCUAGGUUAUUCCAGACUCCAGUGCUAAAACACUGUUUAUUCCUGGACUAUUUCCUCAUAGACAUGUCAGCCAUGCCAAACACUCCAGCAGGGGUGUAAACCAAACUGGGGUGGUGUUAAUGGAACUAUUCUGGAAAGCUAGCAUAAUGUCCCAAGAUUACUUUUGGGUUUCCUACUAGGUGUGGAAACUUGAAUGUUUUUCACCCUAAAAAGCCUCUUCCCAGGUGUCAACCAGACCAUUAACACUGUGAUAGUGAGGAGGGAGUGAUACAGCUUUAUCUAAACUCCUUUUGAGGCUGAAGGCAGGAGGCGAGGAGUGCAGAAGAACAUCAAGGAAUUUCCCUUUCCAGACCAUGGGUACAGGAGAUAAGGCUUGUAAAGACGGACCAUUGUGAUGUCAGAGUGAGAGGAGUGAAGAACACUUUCUGAGAUAAGGACUCUGGAGAUGGCAUAAUUGCACCCCAAUUAAGGACCUGAAGGUGAAGACCAUCAAAGGCUGAGAAGAGCAUAAUAACACGGGGCCUGGACCAGAAGGGCAGAGGGCUGCAUCUCAUCCCCUCUCCUCUAUUCAUGGGAAAGCUGUGGGCUAGCCACCCACCAACGCUUUCCUGCUCCUUGCCAGGUCAUGAAGAAAGUCAAGAGAAAUUCCAAAGGAUGGGUGAAGUAGAGUUCAGAUGGCCUGAGACUACACCCAAGAUAAAAAAGGAGGGAUCAGCGAAUGGUAGAAUGGGUGGAAACCAUCUGCAGAGACCCAGAAAUUCAGACUAGUUCCUGGAACUGGAUUAGGACAACCAAUCAGGACUGAGAGGUGUCACCCACACCGCAUCAUCACCACCACCCAUAUGGGAAGUAAUAAAAGGUUAAGGAACAUUAACCUAGCUCCUAGCUACAACUUUGCAACUCCAGAGUGUCAUGCCCAGCAGUGGUCCACACUUUGGCAAAGAACUUUGUGCCUGAUGGCUUGGAGCCCUAGCCAGGCUUUUAACCCAGUAUGUAUAGGUAUCUAGUAUAGGUUGCUAAGUAUUUUUAUAUGAGGGUAAGGAAAUGCUUAUUGUGUGCUUUAUGUAAGGAAUGCGAGAAGCUAUGCAGCAGGCAGUGUUUACAAUUGCAUUAAUAAUAUUCCUGAGUAUUCUGCUCUGCUUUGCCAAAGACUUUUGAAUGUAUUAUAAUGUCUUGUUAAAUUGUUGAAUAAAUGUGUGUGUAUAAACA